UGGGGGAUAUUGCACAAUGGGCGAAAGCCUGAUGCAGCGACGCCGCGUGGGGGAUGAAGGCCUUCGGGUUGUAAACUUCUUUUGCUCUGAACAAGGCAUGCUAAUGGGUGUGUUGAGCGUAGGGGUUGAUUAGCGCCGGCUAACUACGUGCCAGCAGCCGCGGUAAUACGUAGGGCGCGAGCGUUGUCCGGAAUUAUUGGGCGUACAGGGCUUGUAGGUGGCUGGUUGCGUCUGUCGUGAAAGCUCAUGGCUUAACUGUGGGUUUGCGGUGGGUACGGGCUGGCUUGAGUGCAGUAGGGGGAGCUAGACUUCCUGGUGUAGCGGUGGAAUGCGCAGAUAUCAGGAGGAAUACCGGUGGCGAAGGCGGGUCUCUGGGCUGUUACUGACACUGAGGAGCGAAAGCAUGGGGAGCGAACAGG
This 419-nucleotide ribosomal RNA is filed under the name bacterium. Its description in RNAcentral is "partial 16S ribosomal RNA". It matches the Rfam family "Bacterial small subunit ribosomal RNA", at positions 355 to 776 of the family's 1533-position model. The record is from RNAcentral.